GGGAGCGUACUGGUUUCGACGAGGUUAUUGAACUUUGAGAAGCGGGUAGAGGAUUCUCGUUGGCCUCUUUAAAAAACGAGAAACUUGAUAAUUGCCAAUAAACCGGCACUUGCCGCUGCAUAGAUUGCCGCGGCCGUCACCUCUGAUUAUCUGCCAGCAGAUAAAGUGACGUCAUGAGGCAGACCUUAUCCGUGGGAGGUAAAACGGAGCACCGUUCCAACCCUUGCUUGGAGGUUGGAAUGUAAUUACAAGCUACCGGACCGUCAAGUUUGUUAGUAGACUGAGCGGAAGGGGAAUACUCCAAAUACUGACUGCACCCGGAGAAGCUCUUAGGAAUAUGAUUUCGGACAGGGGUUCGACUCCCCUCGCUUCCACCA
This 377-nucleotide transfer-messenger RNA is filed under the name Clostridiaceae bacterium. It matches the Rfam family "transfer-messenger RNA". Rfam says of the family: Bacterial tmRNA, also known as 10Sa RNA or SsrA, is named for its dual tRNA and mRNA-like properties. Its role is to liberate the mRNA from a stalled ribosome. To accomplish this part of the tmRNA is used as a reading frame that ends in a translation stop signal. Lineage: Bacteria; Bacillati; Bacillota; Clostridia; Eubacteriales; Clostridiaceae. RNAcentral also lists the same sequence under 1 other name. The record is from RNAcentral.